UUUGGUAUCUAUCCAAAAUAUAUUAUGAUGAUAUUGCAUGAUAGACAAGGAAGCUCAAGCAGACACAUUUCAAAACAUUGCAAGAUAACAUGUCAGAUUUCUUUGGUUCUGAGAAAGAGAAAACUCUCUUAUACUUGCAAUAAAAAUCUAGCCUAUAAAUACAUCACUUAUAGGACUCAUCCCUUCUAAGAUCCAAUUAUAUGCAUGACCUCUAAUGUUAAUGUAAUUUGCCACGCAAUUUUUGUUUGUUUAGAAGAAAUUCUGAAGCAAAGCAAGCAUUGAAGAAUUCUUAUUUUAAAACCCUAGUAAGAGAUCAACCUUGUCACAGACUGAAGGCCGUCAAAGCUGGAUAAAUGAAGUAGAUUUGCUGCAAUUAACAAAGUUUAAGUUUGUUACUAGCAUGAUAAGAAUUUAUAUCUGCAUAUAGGACAUCAUGCAAAGCAUCAAAAACAGAAAACUAUAUGAUGCUGCAUAUGAUACUUAUCAUAAAUAAUAUGGCACUUGAUACCAAUGUUAAUGCUUUGCAGUUUGCAGCAAUCAAAAGGCAAGUAAUAUUCAACAGCAGAAGAGAUCAUUCUGAAGAAUACAGCUGCUUUUACCAUAUGAAAGCAUAUAAAGGUUUCAUUCUGGUAAUGGAAUACCAGUUAAGUAAAAACUGAAUAGGGAGAGUCUCUUCUCUUUCAUAAUCCAUUAUUAAACUGAAAUUCAAAUAUUCCAAAGGUUCAGCCAUAAAGGGGAAAUGUGAAGAGUAGCACUGUGCACAAAAGCAAUUUCUUCUCUUGGCACAAUAUCAACAGCAUAUUUCAGACUGAAGAAAACCUUGAAAAUAUCAAGUCUCUUUAAAAAAUCACAGAUAUUUGCUUGCUACACUACCAUUGGCUCUAACCAGAGCCAAGUUCUGCGAAGUACAGACAUUGACAACUGUGAUCCACUACCAAUAUGUCAUGUGGAGCUCAAGAGAGAAGACUUCAAUCUAAUAUCAAUUACCACCCCAGCCUUGAGAAAAGGGAAACUGAAGUCCUCUGUCAUGCAUCUUCAUAGGCAACAAUUCAUUGCAAGGGGGGAAAGAAAUAAAGAAAAGCAAAAGAAAACAUAAAGCAAAAGAAAACAUAAGCAUCAGUAGACAAGGUAACUAAACUAGACCCUUGCAAUCCUGAGUUUCCACCAAAAAAGAGAAGGAACCAUGUUGAUGCCAUUGCAAAGUUUUCUCAGCACCAUUUAAAGGUGAUUAUGAAUAGAAUCUGCCAUGAUGAUAUAACAGUUAUUCAUUCAUUUAUUUAUUUUUAAGUGGAGAUGAUAUAACAGUUAUUGAAAGGCUGUUCAAAUACUUAAUGAAAUCAAGUUAGUUCAUUGUUCUUAUCCAGAAGCAGCAUGCAAUUUUAUGGCUUGCUAUUUCUUAAUUAUGACUGCACUCUCUUGACCAAAAAGUUCUAUAUUGUCUUCAAUUGACAAGCAUGCUUUGCAUUAAAUAGAAAUAUUUAACAUAACUUUAAUAGUGAAUAAUUGUUUGGCAUUGUGAUUAAAGUUUAAGGCAAACUUCCAACAAGCAUAUUGGUAAAUCUGAUAAAUAAAAACAUGUACAUGAAAUAUCUAGAAUAAGCAUUCUGAUAUGUUGAUAUGUAUCAUAAAAUGGCGAAGGGAGAAGGAUCAAACAAUCCAAAAUGUGAUCAAGUGAUAUUGCUCCUCAAAUUUCAUACUUGUAAUGUAACCAACUAAUGAUAAGAAUACGGAAAGACAUGCCAGGACCAAUUGCAUUGACAAGUAUGAAAUGAUAAAAAUUAAGGCCUGCAAUAGGCAAAAAUCAACCUCUGUCUUCCCGAUUAGUGGAGACACCUUGAAUGGCAGUAAAAAUCUCUGGAUUGAAGAUGUAGACACCACAGUUUAUCAAAUCACUUACAAAAGUCUCUGGUUUCUCUAUAUAAUGCAACAGCUCUUUGGUGGUUGGAUCAGCAACCAAUUCACCAAAUUGGUUGGCUGAUUCAGCAGAAACCUUUAUUACUAACAUUGUUCCCAUCCCACCAUAUUUUUUAUGUGCCUCUGAAAAAUUGCAAAACAAACCCAGAAGUGAAUAAAAUAAUAAAUUACCAAUAUCCCAUAUAAAAUAUUGAAGAAGUUGUGGUGUGGCCACAUUAUUUAGAGAAAGCACAAUCAUAACCAUAAACACUCAUAUAAAGUGAAAAACUUACGAAGCAUAUCUGGCAAUGGAAAACUACAGCAAACAUCACAAUUCAGUAGAAAGAUAUGUGACUGCCAGCAAAAUUGAAUGCAAUAAAUAUGAGAUAUCACAUAGAAAAACACCAAAACAAAUUUAAUGAAUUUUCCUUGAGUUGAGCACCACAAAAAAAGUUAGCAUUCUUAAAAUCAUACGCAAAAAAGGCAAACAAAAACCAUACUAAAAAAUCAAAAAGUGCAAAGAUCAAACCGGACUGUCUUCCAUGAUUAUGUCUCUAAAAUAAUAAAGACCACCAGCAGAACCAUGCGGUUUGUCCUCCUUCAAGUAUCUUACGGGUACCUUGAGUUCAUUAGAGAUUGAAGAGACAUAUAAAGUAAAUUCCCGCUCCUCAUAGAAUCCAAUUAAAAAAAUCCGAGCCAAAUUUGGUAUCCUUCUACAAGCAGAAAUAUGAUGGUGAACCAUAGGCUGCCCGGCCAAUGGGAACAGUGGUUUUGGAGUAUUGAAUGAAAGAGGCCUAAAUCUAGUACCUUUGGUGGGUCCACCGACCAUGAUCACAGCAACCACCUCCUCCUCAGAAUCCGCCAUUGCAAAAACCCUGACUGAGACCCAAAGACCUAACUCGAGAGGAGGGUUUUUUGUGACUGGAAAGUGGGAUCAGAGAGAAGUUGGUGGCUGCAUAGAAUUUAACCCAGGAGAGGCAGAGAGGG
Molecule: unclassified non-coding RNA, 2880 nt
Filed under: Hevea brasiliensis (rubber tree)
Lineage: Eukaryota; Viridiplantae; Streptophyta; Magnoliopsida; Malpighiales; Euphorbiaceae
Source: RNAcentral